Non-coding RNA from Heterocephalus glaber (naked mole-rat), 3723 nucleotides. NCBI's taxonomy places the organism in Eukaryota, Metazoa, Chordata, Mammalia, Rodentia, Bathyergidae. The record is from RefSeq and is a predicted model, not a curated record.
UCUUAAAAUAUAAAAUAAAAAAAGAGCUAGGGAUGUAGCUCAAUGCAAAGGCUCUGGGUGCAAUUCCCAGUACCACAAAAUUAAUUAAUUAGAAAAAAAUGGAUGGAAAAUACUUAAAAAUCAAAGUACUUAUGAGUAUUCCCACACCCAGCAUUCACAUUUCCUGAGCCAAAGAGAUAAAAAGACAUAUGCUAAAAGGAAAACUGAAUCAAACUGGCACCAACUCCAGCAAGGCUGAGCUACUAAUAUGUUAGGGAAAGGGAACUUUAAGUAUAAACUAAAGGGGCUCUUGGCUGGGUUGAUAUAAAUUAUCUUCAAAAACCCAGAAUCACUAAAAGGAAUAGCUUGGGAUAGAAAGUUUCCACUACUUCUAGACCAGUGGUUUAUGUUUCAUCUCAAAUGCGUCAUGACUGAAUUAAGGAAGUCAGCCUGUUCAGAAGCCAACAUACCAGGACACCUCUAGGGACAAAUCAGAGCCUGAAAUGUCUCCAGUGGCAUCCAGUUUAAGAGAAAUGAGGAGUUAAACAGACAAGACCAAGGAUGUGCCUAACCGUGAACAACUAGGAUUUCUUUACACAUGGCUACUAAAUUAGCAAGCCUGAGUUAACAGGAUUGUCCCACUGAAACCUCACUCUUCUGUUCAAGAAAUCCCAACAUUCCCUUCCAACAUCUGGAUCCAACUGUGUCUCUUCCCAUCUUCUCUCUCCGUCUCUGCAAACCUCCUCCCCAGGGGAACAGUCACAGGUGUCUGCACAGCCCAUCUCCUGUGUGUCCCCAUGCACACUUGUCGCUCCAAGACCCCACCCCUGAGGCUCAGGGACUGAAAGCUUUUGAAGGAACUUCCUUUCCUUCCAGUGUUUUCUCAUUCCACCUCUAGAAGAUACCUGAUCACCAUAAACCAGUCCCCUGAUCCAAUCAGAAUGUGCUCCACCCACUCUUCACUCCUCUUUGCCCCAGAUUCCUUGCCUAUCUGCAUUUCUGGUUGAGAGACCAGAGAGCAAUAUCAUAGGUACAGAAUAAAGGCAGGCUGGUUUGUUACUGGAAAAGGUGGUGCACUCCUGUAAUCCCAGCACUCUGAGAGGCUAGGGCAGGAAGAUCACAAGUUCAAGUCCAGCCUGGGCAACUUUGCAACUUAACAAGAUCCUGUCUCAAAAUAUAAAAUUUUUAAAAGGGGCUGGGGAUGUAACUCUAGGCCCUAGAUUCAAUCCUCAGUACUGAAAACAAAACACAUGUCCAGGCACACACACAAAUGCACAGUUUACCUGAACUUACUACAGGCUGAGCAUCCCUUGGCCAAAAUUUUUGGAACCAGAAAUGCUUCUUUGAGGUUUGAGAUUUUUAAAAAAUAUUUGCAUAGUAUACAUAAAGAGAUAUCUUAGGGCUGGAAUCCAAGUCUAAACAUACCAUUCCCUUAUGUUUCAUAUACACCUUUUAGCCGGAAAAUGAUGUUAGACAACAUUUUUAGUGCACCUGUGUUCUAAGUGUGACCCGUGACUUGAGGUAAAGUGUGGAAUCUCCUACUCCGGGCAUCACACUGCUGGAGGCAGCUGUUUUGAGGGCACUUUGGAUUGGGGCUUUUCAUGUUAGGGAUGCUCACUGUCCUUGGGACCAACAUCAUUUCUUAGUGGACUCUGCAGUUCCAGCUGAACAGUCUGGUGAAAACGUAAGUAGAAUGACCCAAAAAGGAGUGAAGGGAAAAAGCACAAUCAGGAGAAAACCAAAACCCAGGACAGUCAGUCUCAGGACUUGUAUCCUGUCGAGGGCCGAGUCAUUUUCCAACUUCAGAGAAACUUUCUGGGCUUGUCCCCUGGAUGUAAAAUGGCGUGAAAGUAUUACACUUCCAGAAUUUUAAAUCAAGUUCAAUCACACACACAGUGGACUCACAGUAACAACAGAGAACUGGUACCAGGACUCCCAGAUACCAAAGCCCACAGAUGGUACAUCUCUUACAUCAAAUGGCACAGAACCUGUAUGUAUCCAUCCAGAGUUUCAAUCAUCUCUGCAUUACUUGCAGUAUUUACUACGAUAUGAGUACUAUGUAAGUAGCCGCUAUAUGGAAUUUAGGGAAUAACAACAAGAAAGUCUAUACAUGCUCAGUACAGAUGUAAUAUUUUUGAUCCGUAGUUGGUUGAAUGCAUGGAUGUGGAGCCCAUGGAUAUAGAACACAGACUAUAUUUAAAUAAACUAUGAUAUGUAUACAUUUUAACAUUUUUUUAAAUAACAAAAUAAUUUUUCAUCCUGACCCAUGCAGGUGACUUGCCCCAAACCGCAUGGCUAGGGUAGGCAGUGCUCCAGGGUGAGGCCACUCAUCCACCACAGGCCUCUUCUCCCUUAGCCCCCACCCCUGCCAAAUUGUGGGUCCCCCUUCCCCAUGGUGGGGAUUAAACCUAGGGCCUUUGCACUGGGCCACAUCUCUAGCCCCAGCUCCACUCAUUUUUUUUUAAAAGUAGUCUUGCCAAGUUGCCCCGGCUGGGUUUGAAUUUGGGAUCCUUCUGCCUCCACCUCAAGUGUUGGGAUCAAGGUGCACACCACCACGCCCAGCUCAAGUCUAACUAUUCUUUAAGUCACUGGCUCUAGGCUUUGGGGAGUCACAGGCCUCUUUGAAAAUCUGGGGAAAGCCACAGAUCAUCUCCCCAGGAAAAGAAUGUGGUGCUAUCUCUUCUAAUAGAUUGGGCUCAUAACUUAAGGGGCUCCCUUCUAAACCUAAGCCUCUCCACAAGCACCCUAGCAUAAGCCACUCUUCCACAAAAUUCCUGUGACUCCCAUGGCCCACAACAGUGGCAUUAAUUGUUGGGUGAUUAAAAAUGGAUGGAGACCAGUUGAAGGAAGUAGAACAUGGGAGUGGACCCUAAGGACUACAUGUGUACUCCCCAGACCCUUCUCUGGCUCUCUUCCUCUUUUUCUGCUUCCAGCUUCCAUCGGGUGAGCAGCUUUCUUCCACCACACCCUUCUUGGAGCCAGCUGACCAUGGACUGUAACCUCUGGAAGCCAUGAGCCAAAAUAAAUCUUUUUUCCUCUAAACUGAUUGUCUCGGCUACAGUAUUUGGUCACAGUGCCAAAAGCUAACUAACACACCCAGUUAAGUCAUAAUCCAUGAGCUGGCUGUCAUUGGGGUCGAUGCCACAGGCACACAGCUGCCAAGCAGAACCAUUCUGGGCUCCCAGAGGAGCAACUCGCGCACAGCCCAGAGGAGAGGUAGAGAGGCAGCUUCAUGUGAGUGCUCCCAGCUCCACUAUGGAGAGAAAUCCCCAGAGCUGCAACUACACAAUCGUGACAGCGCCCACACGUGGUGGGAGUGGAAAUGGACAGGCGGCACUUUCGAGAAGAUGUGAGGAGGAAGAAAGCAGCCACGCACUCGAGUGCCAGCUCCACUCCUCCAGCAUGUGGGUCUCGCCAGGCUCUCGGGGGACCAGUGCCACAGGGAAAUGAGAUCCUGCAGUACCUGUCCCCCUGUGCCUGGCUGAUUCACUUGGCAUCACCCAGGUCCACACUGAACCUGCUGAGAGCGUUGGGCCCUCCUGCCCAGAGCAAAACCCAGACAGACAAGAACAGGAGAAGCUGGCCCAUGGGAGAGGUUAAGAGACCAAUGAGGCUAGAAAACAAACCGUCUUGACCAUCAGGGGUUCAACCCAGCUUGAGGAAUACUGAGUACCUGACCCUGGGUUGGAUUAAGGAGUUGUGGAAAAUAAAGAAAAGGUGGCCCCUAAACUGGAGACACAUACC